CCUACGGGAGGCAGCAGUGAGGAAUAUUGGUCAAUGGACGAGAGUCUGAACCAGCCAAGUCGCGUGAAGGAUGACUGCCCUAUGGGUUGUAAACUUCUUUUAUAUGGGAAUAAAAUGUUCCACGUGUGGGAUUUUGUAUGUACCAUAUGAAUAAGGAUCGGCUAACUCCGUGCCAGCAGCCGCGGUAAUACGGAGGAUCCGAGCGUUAUCCGGAUUUAUUGGGGUUAAAGGGAGCGUAGGUGGAUGGUUAAGUCAGUUGUGAAAGUUUGCGGCUCAACCGUAAAAUUGCAGUUGAAACUGGCAGUCUUGAGUACAGUAGAGGUGGGCGGAAUUCGUGGUGUAGCGGUGAAAUGCUUAGAUAUCACGAAGAACUCCGAUUGCGAAGGCAGUUCACUGGACUGCAACUGACACUGAGGCUCGAAAGUGUGGGUAUCAAACAGGAUUAGAUACCCGAGUAGUC
RNAcentral lists this ribosomal RNA (460 nucleotides) under uncultured bacterium. RNAcentral's name for it is "partial 16S ribosomal RNA". It matches the Rfam family "Bacterial small subunit ribosomal RNA", at positions 338 to 795 of the family's 1533-position model. The record is from RNAcentral.